Molecule: unclassified non-coding RNA, 211 nt
Filed under: rhizosphere metagenome
Description: partial ribosomal RNA internal transcribed spacer region
Source: RNAcentral
GUAGGUGAACCUGCGGAGGGAUCAUUACAAGAACGCCCGGGCUUCGGCCUGGUUAUUCAUAACCCUUUGUUGUCCGACUCUGUUGCCUCCGGGGUGAUUUUGUUUUUGGGCGGGGGCUCCGGGUGGACACUUCAAACUCUUGCGUAACUUUGCAGUCUGAGUAAACUUAAUUAAUAAAUUAAAACUUUUAACAACGGAUCUCUUGGUUCUG